UACAGAGGGUGCAAGCGUUAAUCGGAAUUACUGGGCGUAAAGCGAGCGUAGUCGGUUAUUUAAGUCGGAUGUGAAAUCCCCGGGCUCAACCUGGGAAUUGCAUUCGAUACUGGGUAGCUAGAGUUCGGCAGAGGGAAGCGGAAUUUCGGGUGUAGCGGUGAAAUGCGUAGAUAUGCGGAGGAACACCGAUGGCGAAGGCAAUCCCCUGGACCUGGUACUGACGCUCAUGCACGAAAGCGUGGGGAGCAAACAGG
RNAcentral lists this ribosomal RNA (254 nucleotides) under uncultured bacterium. RNAcentral describes it as "partial 16S ribosomal RNA". It matches the Rfam family "Bacterial small subunit ribosomal RNA", at positions 524 to 776 of the family's 1533-position model. The record is from RNAcentral.